UCUCCUGGUCUAUAAAGCUUGGCAGCUCAGCUAGGCUCGCCGGUCGCCUGGUUCGGACGGACGGAGGGACGGCCGGAGGGACGGUCGGAGGGACGGACGAAGGGAGGGAGGGGUGGCCGGCCGGGGCUCGAGGAGCGGCCAUGGGUCCGGCGAUGGCGGUGCGGCUGGGGCUGGUCCUUCUGCUCCUCGUGGGGCCCGAACAGAUUCACCCUCAAAACGUCUCGGUCCCGACCAUCCCAACCAACAACUCCUCAGUGAGCGUUACUUCUUCCCCAGUGACAAACCACUUCAACGGUACUACUCCCAAGGGGCACGGGAAUAACCUACAUGCGACGGCUGGCCUGUUCCUUCUCUCGCUCUCCCUGCUCCACCUCUCCUGCUGAGAGAUUCCAGGUUGGAAGCAGCUGAACCUCCCUCCGCGUCAUCCUGAACCUUCGGUGAUGGCUUCCCCUGCAAGCCCCGUGGCAGAAAGAUUCCAAACAGCUAGACCUUUGGCACCAAACCAACCCCCUUUACCUACCUGUUGAGUCCAUUGGAUCCAUCCAACUUGGCAUGCUGGCUGAGGUUCCAAGCUUGACCAAUUUGAAAAGGCUUUGGAGGGUUGAUUCACCUGGAAUUUCCAAAGCCAGAAUAGAGAGAGGGAGAGAGCAUGCAAUCAAAAUUACUUAAAAAUGUGGAUGUAUUAAAUGUGGCACAGUACAUUUGACGGACAGCUAGGGACCCAACUUGAAAAUUGCUUUGAAAAGAGACUCAGUUUUCACUUGUAGUCACUGAACCCACAUAGCCAAGAAAUAACAAAAGAAGAAAAAAAUUAUGACUGUCUGUAGAGCCUGGGUAUGUUCUAUUGGGUUUUGAUAUCCGUUUUUCUAAGAGCUCAAUCUUUUUCUCUGGAGCUCUGGAGUUGGCAUUCUGAUUACUCAGCUGUUUCUUAAACCAGAUGUGCCAGGCAAGGAGGACUUGUUUCCUUCCCGAAAUGCAGCAUAGUAAGCGCUCAAUAAAUAUUUUUUUUUAUUGAUCGAUAAUUGGGAAAUCUGACUUUUACCCAGUGAAGUCCGAGGAUUGACGCCUCCCCUUCCCUCCAUCUCUCUAACAAGGAGUCAAGUUUUAAUUCAGCUACCUUAGUUUCCUUCAUGCCAGAGCUUCCAAGUACACGACUCCUUAAGUUUCAAAUGCUGCUUCUUUUUUUUGCUUAAGUUGAAUCAUUUUUACUUUUUGAAGAUUAUCCUUUUUGGCAGUUCAUUUUAAACAUGAGUUUAAAAGAAAGAGACAAACCAUUACAAGCCAAAAAUGAGUCAAUCAGAUAUUUGGGAUAUGAGGACUGGUUUCUAACUUGCAUUAUGUUCACUGAAACUUUUAUACUCUUUCUGUAAAUACUUAUUUUUAUCUUUAUAAAUCAGAGUAGCUACCUUUGAAAGUUUGUUUCUGUAUCCAGUAUUUUUAGAUAGCGGCCUCAAGCUGGCUUUAUUCAGGAAGUAAAUAUUUUACAGCUCUUGAUGCAGAAAACUUUUUAGGAAAAAAAAAUUAAGCUUAGGACCUUUUCUGUUCACACUGUCACAUUCUAAUGCUUCAGUUUCACAAAACGCAACAGGGCGGGAACAUUCUAAGUAUGUAAGAAAACAAAGCAUCUCUGCUCCCUUUAAGACCAAUCCAGAUGUGCAGUGCAGAGUAUCUCGCGGUGUUGCCUGUGUGACUGCACAUUCCUUUAUGCUACAUGAUUUGUGGACUGUAUACUGCUUGGUUGUACAUUGUGUUUGUGUAAUUAUGCUUUGAUUCAUAGUGACAUCUCAUGUUAUGAAAUUGAUUUGCAUUGGACACAAACUGUAAAUAAAAAGAAAUAAACAGGAAUGGGCAUUGCAUUUCA
Ornithorhynchus anatinus (platypus) is the source of this 1861-nucleotide long non-coding RNA. RefSeq lists it as uncharacterized. Lineage: Eukaryota; Metazoa; Chordata; Mammalia; Monotremata; Ornithorhynchidae. The record is from RefSeq and is a predicted model, not a curated record. The transcript is spliced from 2 exons.